AGAGUUUGAUCAUGGCUCAGGAUGAACGCUAGCGGCAGGCCUAAUACAUGCAAGUCGAACGGUAACAUAUCUAGCUUGCUAGAUGAUGACGAGUGGCGAACGGGUGCGUAACGCGUAUGUAAUCUACCUUUAACAGAGGAAUAGCCCAGAGAAAUUUGGAUUAAUACCUCAUAAUAUUAUUUGAUGGCAUCAUCAAAUAAUUAAAACUCCGGUGGUUAAAGAUGAGCAUGCGUCCUAUUAGUUAGUUGGUGAGGUAAUUGCUCACCAAGACUAUGAUAGGUAGGGGGCCUGAAAGGGUGAUCCCCCACACUGGUACUGAGACACGGACCAGACUCCUACGGGAGGCAGCAGUAAGGAAUAUUGCACAAUGGAGGAAACUCUGAUGCAGCCAUGCCGCGUGCAGGAAGAAUGCCCUAUGGGUUGUAAACUGCUUUUCUACAAGAAGAAACACCAGUACGUGUACUGGCUUGACGGUAUUGUAGGAAUAAGCACCGGCUAACUCCGUGCCAGCAGCCGCGGUAAUACGGAGGGUGCAAGCGUUAUCCGGAUUUAUUAGGUUUAAAGGGUCCGCAGGCGGAAUAUUAAGUCAGUGGUGAAAGCCUACAGCUCAACUGUAGAACUGCCAUUGAUACUGAUAUUCUUGAGUGUGGUUGAAGUGGGCGGAAUAUGUCAUGUAGCGGUGAAAUGCAUAGAUAUGACAUGGAACACCAAUUGCGAAGGCAGCUCACUAAGCCAUUACUGACGCUCAUGGACGAAAGCGUGGGUAGCGAACAGGAUUAGAUACCCUGGUAGUCCACGCC
Molecule: ribosomal RNA, 800 nt
Filed under: uncultured bacterium
Lineage: Bacteria
Description: bacterial SSU rRNA
Rfam family: Bacterial small subunit ribosomal RNA
Source: RNAcentral